GGCAGGCCCAGCAGUGUGCCAGCUCCAGAAAAUGGGCCGAGCAAGGGCCCUCCUCCACCCUCACACAGUCGCUGGAGCAGAGAGGAGUUCUGCUGAGUAGAAGAAAGACGGAGGCUUUUGAUGGUCUAGAACGCCGGGUAUCUGUGACUGCACUUGGAAAUGCACCGUCCGGCAUGUGUGCUAAUGUGGACAGCUCAGUUCUUCAGUCGUGCUGUGAUUGGUUUGCUUCUAAGGAGCCACAAAGGUCAAGGAAGGUAAGAGGCUCUGGUCACAUACACAUCUCACUCAGCUUCAGCUGAGAUGCCCGUGAAGCAGUGUGCCCUGAAUUCUCUCUGAGUGGUAUGUCAUGAGCAAUUUCCUGUGUUACUAUCAUAAUCAUGAUUUUAAUGGCUGGGUAGUAGUUCAGAGUUUCUCAGUACUGAAAAACACAAUGUCAAUAUGGCUUUGAACAAAAUAAUAUUGACCAUAAUGGAAGAAAUACAACCGUAAGCUUCAGGCACUUAAAAGUUUAAAUGUUAUUAUUUUCAUGGCCAACAGGGGCUGGCUUUGCUCCAUGUACUUUGAAAUUCACAAAGUAUACUAGAAUAAAAUCAGUUUAUCUCAUUCCUGAGCCCUUAAUUUCUGGCCAAUAGACACAACCCUGUGCGUGGGCCAUCUUGCCAGGGUCUGUACGUUGGAACAGAAACUAAGCCCUUGCUGCCUGUCAUCCUCUUUUCUCCAGCAGGGUCCCCACAUUCCCACAGCUUAAAGUCUAUUUUAAACUCUAUCCUUUCCCAUGUUCUUUGUUUCUCUUAGAUAUCAUGUGUGUAAUUAUGAAAAUAAAUCCAGAUUGAGGCUGCCUUUGGAGGGAUGGGAGCCUCGCAGAACAGCCACAUCUGUAGGAACUGUUUCUCCUUGGUGCCGUUCUGUGGAAAUGAAGCACUGCGAUCAGUUUAGAAUAAUUAGGGGAUAAAAACCCAAAGCACUGAGUAAAAAUUAGCUCCGCCAGUCUGUUGUUGGCUUUUGAGUUCCCCCAACAUGCACCAUUUGUAUUCAUGACUUCGUCAGCCUCAGCGUGGUUUUCGUAGUCUUUCCAAGAAUGCAAGCUACCAGACUCACAUCAGCUCAGCUGAGCGUUCUGCCGACCUUCCCUGUACAGGUGAAGGAGGCACGGCCUCCCCACUGGGCUUCACAGUGGUCAGUGAGACCACUGGGAAGCAGGACGGUACCAGCAGGCUCGUUUAUUGGCUGCUGAACACUUGGUAUAGGGUGUCUAAGGUUGGGGGAGCCGGGCAGGGAGAUUUCACGGGGGCUGAGGUCUAACAGAGACCCAGAUGAGGCUUGGUUCCAUUUCAAGGUAUAGUAUCACAAAGUAUUAGCUUCACCAAAUAUUGCUUCUAAUGCAUUCCUGAACUCUUUUUGUAGACCCUGACAAAUGACAGGAGUGCUAGCAACUUCUUUUUAGCACCAGGGCUGGAAUGCUUUGCCUGCAGUGUCUCCUCAGGAAUCCCCACACCACUGAACAAGGACAGGGAUAUCUGCCUUGAACAAUGUCUGGUGCAUAGAAGCAUGCUGACAGCGCGCAGCACCCGCUGAGCUCUGAUGCAGGGGAUGCUUCCAUCCUCUGCCUGGUGGGGAGACCAGACCUGGAAACAGGCAUAGAAGGCACAGUGCACAUCAGAGGGGUGUCAUGAAGAGGCCCUGGUGGCCAGUGACUGAGAGCCUUCUCAAGUAGAGUCAUGCAGGUGACUCACUUCUGAAAGAGAGCACGGUUCUCCCACCCACAGCUGUAUGGAGUCUCCGCGUGGGUCUGGGGCCAGCACAAACACCACUUGGGGCUCCGGUGGAACCACCUACUGGCGGCGUGAUUCUCGGCAGUAAACUGCGGUCCUCCCCCACUGUCUGCACGGUGACACUGUACCCGCUCAGCUGGGAGGGUUAGAGGAGAGAAGGGUCUGAGAGGGCCAGUGAGCCCCGGGGCCCGGAACACACAUGAUGUUUCUACUUGGUUUAAAUGAAGCGUGCACCUUUUUAUACGUUAAGGAGAAAACACUGCUCACCACCUUUAAUCUACAUAAAAUCAUUACAUGAGGUUUAAAGUUUUUGUUUCCUUGUUGUUUUGUUUCAGAUUCCUUAAUUACUUUCUCCUCAGUAUGACAAAUCAUACUUAUUCUGUGAUGCAUACAUACCCACUUAUUCUGUGACCCACAGGGAUUUUUGCUUCAUCUGACAGAUCAGUCUGUCAGAUACUAAAGUGGCCCCACGGAAUUUAUCUGAACAUGAGCCUUAACGAAAGAGGAAUGCCAGCUUUUCAAAUGUGGAAACCAGAUGAAAUCUGGAGAUAGGGCCCAGAGGAGCUAUGUGGUAAAGGAACACCACAGGGCUUUGUCCUGGCCGAGGAGUGGGGAGGCCACUGAGGCUCAUUUUUUUUGUGUUUCAAACUUAUGUCAAAGUAGGGGUAGCUUUCCCAGACAUGUCAUUUAGUACAUGGCCCAAUUGCCUAAGGACUGCAGGGAAUCUUCAGUUCCCUUCAGACCCCCGGAAACUACCCCAACAUAGCCCCAAACACAGCCUGACCAAACACAGUUCCCACUCUCCGCCCGCUGCUGAGGUGGAUGAGAACUUGUGUCUGAAGACAGGCAGCUUUGUUCUAAGACAAUAAAAGCACAAUUAUGAAAAAAUAUAAAUGUGCACAUAAAAACAUACAGAAAAGCCAAACACAAUAGGGACCCAGCCAAGCUCAGCAAUUUAGCCAUGACCCCCAGGAACACCAAGUACAGAUUCAGGCCUUCAGGCAACACUUUAAAAGCAUGCAAACCUUUUUUAGAAACUCUUUAUGCACAAAAUUCAAUUGCAAUUGUAUGUUUUUUAUUUUGAAAUAAUUUUAGACUUAGAGAAAAUUUGCAAAAAUAAUAGAUUUCCCACAUACCCAUCUCCUAAGGCUAACACCUGAUGUAACCAUAGUAUAAUUACCAACCUACUAACUAA
This is a long non-coding RNA of Manis pentadactyla (Chinese pangolin), 2967 nucleotides long. RefSeq lists it as uncharacterized. NCBI's taxonomy places the organism in Eukaryota, Metazoa, Chordata, Mammalia, Pholidota, Manidae. The transcript is spliced from 4 exons. The record is from RefSeq and is a predicted model, not a curated record.